AUAUAGGUAUGCCGAAUAACUUUUAUAUUUCUUUAUUCUCCCUCGUUCGUUUUAAUAAAUUCUGAUAUGCCGAGUAAAAAUUAUCUUAUGAUCCAUCAUUACGACCACGAAGACGUUGGCAAUGUAAUACAUAAUAUAUAUAUAAAAAAAUACGAUCCGUCUUUUUCUCCCCGUAAACUGACAAAUGCACAUAUUUUACAUCGUUCUACACGGGUCGUAUAAAACUACGUCGUCUUCGUCGUAUUGUUUCGUUCAAAUAUAUAAACACGAGCGGUGUAGGUCAAAAUCUUAAAACUUUUACCGCGACCGUCGUACAAUAGUGAAACCUAAACAUCGAACACACGCAUAUAAAUUGGCCAAAGAAAAAUAAAAUCAUGUAAAAAAAUACCGAAAUUACUCCGGAAUUUUUUUCCUCCUCUAAAUACAACGUACGGGGAACCGCCGAGUUCGAAAUA
Molecule: non-coding RNA, 455 nt
Organism: Cinara cedri
Lineage: Eukaryota; Metazoa; Arthropoda; Insecta; Hemiptera; Aphididae
Source: the annotation of a GenBank genome assembly